This 2051-nucleotide ribosomal RNA is filed under the name Microvelia americana. Its description in RNAcentral is "SSU rRNA". It matches the Rfam family "Eukaryotic small subunit ribosomal RNA". The record is from RNAcentral. Lineage: Eukaryota; Metazoa; Arthropoda; Insecta; Hemiptera; Veliidae.
UAUCUGGUUGAUCCUGCCAGUAGUCAUAUGCUUGUCUCAAAGCUUAAGCCAUGCAAGUCUCAGUGCAAACUUAAUUAAAGUGAAACCGCGAAAAGCUCAUUAAAUCAGUUAUGGUUUACUGGCGCUUCAUUCCGUUAUGGAUAACUGUGGUAAUUCUAGAGCUAAUACAUGCAACACAUGUCCCGUCCAGUGAUGGUAAGGACGCUUUUAUUAGGUCAAAACCAAUCGGUUCGGGCUCGCCCCGUUCCGUUGUAAUUUGACGACUCUGGGUAACACACUAGAUCGCACGGUCUUUGUACCGGCGACGCACCUUUCAAAUGACUGACUUAUCAACUGUCGAUGGUAGAUUUUUUGUCUACCAUGGUUGUAACGGGUAACGGGGAAUCAGGGUUCGAUUCCGGAGAGGGAGCCUGAGAAACUGCUACCACAUCCAAGGAAGGCAGCAGGCACGCAAAUUACCCACUCCCGGCACGGGGAGGUAGUGACAAAAAAUAACGAUACGGGACUCAUCCGAGGCCCCGUAAUCGGAAUGAGUACACUUUAAAUCCUUUAACAAGGAUCCAUUGGAGGGCAAGUCUGGUGCCAGCAGCCGCGGUAACUCCAGCUCCAAUAGCGUAUAUUAAAGCUGUUGCGGUUAAAAAGCUCGUAGUUGGUUCUGUGUGCCACGCUGUCGGUUCACCGCCUGCCGGUGCAACUGACAUGCCGUGGGAUGUCUUGCCGGAGGGGGCCGGAACCCUUCCUUAUUGGUUGGGCUUAGGUCCUCGCAAUGCUGCCAGGGUGCUCUUCAUCGAGUGUCGGGGCAGGCCGGCAAGAUUACUUUGAACAAAUUAGAGUGCUUAAAGCGGGCCUAAUGUUGCCUAAAUAGUUGUGCAUGGAAUAAUGGAAUAGGACCUUGUUACUGUUUUGUUGGCUUUCGGUGAUCAAGGUAAUGAUCAAUGUGGACUGGCGGGGGGAUUCGUAUUUCGACGGUUGGGGGGAAAAUCUUUGGUCGUCGCCAAACGGAUCGUCGCAAGACGAACUAGAGCGAAAGCAUUUGCCAAGUAUGUCUUAGUUGAUCAAGAACGAAAGUUAGAGGUUCGAAGGCGAUCAGAUACCGCCCUAGUUCUAACCAUAAACGAUGUCGGCCAGCAAUCCGCCAAUGUUCCUCCGAUGACUCGGCGGGCAACCCCAGGGAAACCAAAGCUUUUGGGUUCCGGGGGAAGUAUGGUUGCAAAGCUGAAACUUAAAGGAAUUGACGGAAGGGCACCACCAGGAGUGGAGCCUGCGGCUUAAUUUGACUCAACACGGGAAACCUCACCAGGCCCAGACAUUGGAAGGAUUGACAGAUUGAUAGCUCUUUCUUGAUUCAAUGGGUAGUGGUGCAUGGCCGUUCUUAGUUGGUGGAACGAUUUGUCUGGUUAAUUCCGAUAACGAACGAGACUCUAGCCUAUUAACUAGGCGUCCGGUAUCUGGGGCUACCGGCGAAAUAGAAUCUUCUUAAAGGGAACCGAGGCGCUCAGCCUCACGAGAUUGAGCAAUAACAGGUCUGUGAUGCCCUCAGAUGGUCUGGGCCGCACGCGCGCUACACUGAUGGAAUCAGCGUGUCCCUCCCUGGCCGAAAGGCCCGGGUAACCCGCUGAAACUCCUUCGUGCUUGGAAUUGGGGCUUGCAAUUAUUCCCCAUGAACGAGGAAUUCCCAGUAAGCGCGAGUCAUAAGCUCGCGUUGAUUACGUCCCUGCCCUUUGUACACACCGCCCGUCGCUACUACCGAUUGAAUGAUUUAGUGAGGUCUUCGGACUGGUGACAAUUGGCUGCGCCUCGGUGUAGCCGGUGUUGCCGGAAAGAUGACCAAACUUGAUCAUUUAGAGGAAGUAAAAGUCGUAACAAGGUUUCCGUAGGUGAACCUGCGGAAGGAUCAUUACCGUACUGAAAAAAUACCCCUUGGUAUUUUGGAUUUCGGUGGUCCUUAGGUAGAAAAUUGUCAUGGCGGGGGGGGCCGGGACGGCCCACGGGGCGUUUUGUCCGCCCCCCCCGAGGUGAGGGUGCCAGGGCUGCAUAAACGGAAUCUCCGC